RNAcentral lists this ribosomal RNA (267 nucleotides) under Staphylococcus delphini. RNAcentral's name for it is "partial 23S ribosomal RNA". It matches the Rfam family "Bacterial large subunit ribosomal RNA", at positions 1631 to 1897 of the family's 2925-position model. The record is from RNAcentral. Lineage: Bacteria; Bacillati; Bacillota; Bacilli; Caryophanales; Staphylococcaceae.
AAUAACGGUGCCCGUACCGCAAACCGACACAGGUAGUCAAGAUGAGAAUUCUAAGGUGAGCGAGCGAACUCUCGUUAAGGAACUCGGCAAAAUGACCCCGUAACUUCGGGAGAAGGGGUGCUCUUUGAGGUUCACGCUUCGAAGAGCCGCAGUGAAUAGGCCCAAGCGACUGUUUAUCAAAAACACAGGUCUCUGCUAAACCGUAAGGUGACGUAUAGGGGCUGACGCCUGCCCGGUGCUGGAAGGUUAAGAGGAGUGGUUAGCGCA